GUGUGUGGGUUGCACCCUCCCUGCACACACGUUAAUGUGGCUGUAUGUGUGGGUGCACACACAUACACUAGUCCCAAGCCUAGGUAAACACAGAGGGAUUG
RNAcentral lists this non-coding RNA (101 nucleotides) under unclassified sequences. The record is from RNAcentral.